This 253-nucleotide ribosomal RNA is filed under the name uncultured bacterium. RNAcentral's name for it is "partial 16S ribosomal RNA". It matches the Rfam family "Bacterial small subunit ribosomal RNA", at positions 524 to 776 of the family's 1533-position model. The record is from RNAcentral.
UACGUAGGGUCCGAGCGUUGUCCGGAUUUAUUGGGCGUAAAGGGCUCGUAGGCGGUUUGUCACGUCGGGAGUGAAAACUCAGGGCUCAACCCUGAGCGUGCUUCCGAUACGGGCAGACUAGAGGUAUGCAGGGGAGAACGGAAUUCCUGGUGUAGCGGUGGAAUGCGCAGAUAUCAGGAGGAACACCGGUGGCGAAGGCGGUUCUCUGGGCAUUACCUGACGCUGAGGAGCGAAAGCAUGGGGAGCGAACAGG